GUGCCAGCAGCCGCGGUAAAACGUAGGAGGCAAGCGUUAUCCGAAUUCACUGGGCGUAAAGCGCGUGCAGGCGGCCUGGUAAGUUGGCUGUGAAAUCUCCUGGCUCAACUGGGAGAGGCCGGUCAAUACUGUCAGGCUCGAGGGCGACAGAGGGAGGUGGAAUUCCGGGUGUAGUGGUGAAAUGCGUAGAUAUCCGGAGGAACACCAGAGGCGAAGGCGACCUCCUGGGUCGUACCUGACGCUCAGAUGCGAAAGCUAGGGGAGCGAACGGGAUUAGAUACCCGUGUAGUCC
Molecule: ribosomal RNA, 292 nt
Filed under: uncultured bacterium
Lineage: Bacteria
Description: partial 16S ribosomal RNA
Rfam family: Bacterial small subunit ribosomal RNA
Source: RNAcentral